RNAcentral lists this ribosomal RNA (497 nucleotides) under uncultured bacterium. Its description in RNAcentral is "partial 16S ribosomal RNA". It matches the Rfam family "Bacterial small subunit ribosomal RNA", at positions 28 to 507 of the family's 1533-position model. The record is from RNAcentral.
GAUGAACGCUGGCGGCGUGCCUAAUACAUGCAAGUCGAGCGAACAGAUGAGGAGCUUGCUCCUCUGACGUUAGCAGCGGACGGGUGAGUAACACGUGGAUAACCUACCUAUAAGACUGGGAUAACUUCGGGAAACCGGAGCUAAUACCGGAUAAUAAAUUGAACCGCAUGGUUCAAUAGUGAAAGACGGUUUUGCUGUCACUUAUAGAUGGAUCCGCGCCGCAUUAGCUAGUUGGUAAGGUAACGGCUUACCAAGGCAACGAUGCGUAGCCGACCUGAGAGGGUGAUCGGCCACACUGGAACUGAGACACGGUCCAGACUCCUACGGGAGGCAGCAGUAGGGAAUCUUCCGCAAUGGGCGAAAGCCUGACGGAGCAACGCCGCGUGAGUGAUGAAGGUCUUCGGAUCGUAAAACUCUGUUAUUAGGGAAGAACAAAUGUGUAAGUAACUAUGCACGUCUUGACGGUACCUAAUCAGAAAGCCACGGCUAACUACGUG